UACGUAGGGAGCAAGCGUUGUCCGGAUUUACUGGGUGUAAAGGGUGCGUAGGCGGCUUUGCAAGUCAGAAGUGAAAUCCAUGGGCUUAACCCAUGAACUGCUUUUGAAACUGCAGAGCUUGAGUGGAGUAGAGGUAGGCGGAAUUCCCGGUGUAGCGGUGAAAUGCGUAGAGAUCGGUAGGAACACCAGUGGCGAAGGCGGCCUACUGGGCUCUAACUGACGCUGAGGCACGAAAGCGUGGGUAGCAAACAGG
This 253-nucleotide ribosomal RNA is filed under the name uncultured bacterium. RNAcentral describes it as "partial 16S ribosomal RNA". It matches the Rfam family "Bacterial small subunit ribosomal RNA", at positions 524 to 776 of the family's 1533-position model. The record is from RNAcentral.